AAACCAACAGGGAUUGCCUCAGUAACGGCGAGUGAAGCGGCAAAAGCUCAAAUUUGAAAUCCCCCGGGAAUUGUAAUUUGAAGGACCUAUUAAAACCCUGAGAGAGCCCAAAGUCCAUUGGAAAAUGGCGCCAUAGAAGGUGAUAGCCCUGUGUGGACCUCUCUCAGCAUACUUUUUAGGCCCAAAGAGUCGAGUUGUUUGGGAAUGCAGCUCUAAGUGGGUGGUAAAUUCCAUCUAAAGCUAAAUAUUGGCGAGAGACCGAUAGCGAACAAGUACAGUGAUGGAAAGAUGAAAAGCACUUUGAAAAGAGAGUGAAAAAGUACGUGAAAUUGUUGAAAGGGAAGGGCUUGCAAGCAGACACAACCUCGGUUGGGCCAGCAUCGGGGCGGGGGGAAACAAAAAAGGUGUGGAAUGUGGCUCUUACGAGUGUUAUAGCCCCACCCAAUAUUUCCAUCCCAUCCCGAGGCC
This 468-nucleotide ribosomal RNA is filed under the name Metschnikowia rancensis. RNAcentral describes it as "partial large subunit ribosomal RNA". It matches the Rfam family "Eukaryotic large subunit ribosomal RNA", at positions 62 to 494 of the family's 3401-position model. Lineage: Eukaryota; Fungi; Ascomycota; Pichiomycetes; Serinales; Metschnikowiaceae. The record is from RNAcentral.